AGUCGUAGUGAACCUGCGGAAGGAUCAUUA
This 30-nucleotide ribosomal RNA is filed under the name Danielia reshetovae. Its description in RNAcentral is "Clavispora reshetovae partial 18S ribosomal RNA". Lineage: Eukaryota; Fungi; Ascomycota; Pichiomycetes; Serinales; Metschnikowiaceae. The record is from RNAcentral.